UGGGGAAUUUUGCGCAAUGGGCGAAAGCCUGACGCAGCAACGCCGCGUGUGUGAUGAAGGUUUUCGGAUCGUAAAGCACUUUCGACCGGGAAGAAACGGCAUUGGCUAACAUCCAAUGCUCUGACGGUACCGGGAGAAGAAGCACCGGCUAACUCUGUGCCAGCAGCCGCGGUAAUACAGAGGGUGCAAGCGUUGUUCGGAAUUAUUGGGCGUAAAGCGCGUGUAGGCGGCUUUGCAAGUCGGGUGUGAAAUCCCUCGGCUCAACCGAGGAAGUGCGCCCGAAACUGCAGAGCUUGAGUACCGGAGAGGAUGGUGGAAUUCCCCAAGUAGAGGUGAAAUUCGUAGAUAUGGGGAGGAACACCGGUGGCGAAGGCGACCAUCUGGACGGAUACUGACGCUGAGACGCGAAAGCGUGGGGAGCAAACAG
Molecule: ribosomal RNA, 427 nt
Filed under: uncultured bacterium
Lineage: Bacteria
Description: bacterial SSU rRNA
Rfam family: Bacterial small subunit ribosomal RNA
Source: RNAcentral